GCAGACCAAGGAACAAUCGCAGCUGACGGCAACACAGACUCGCACUGUCAACAAGCAUGGCGAUGAGAUCAUCACCUCCACCACCAGCAACUAUGAGACCCAGACUUUCUCAUCCAAGACUGAGUGGAGGGUCAGGGCCAUCUCUGCUGCCAACCUGCACCUAAGGACCAAUCACAUCUAUGUUUCAUCUGACGACAUCAAGGAGACUGGCUACACCUACAUCCUUCCCAAGAAUGUGCUUAAGAAGUUCAUCUGCAUAUCUGACCUUCGGGCCCAACUGGGGAGCUUGUGAGCAGUGCAGAUUCCUGGACCCCACUCAGGAGAUUCUGAUGUGAUUGCAGGAUACCUAUAUGGGGUGAGCCCACCAGAUAACCCCCAGGUGAAGGAGAUCCGCUGCAUUGUGAUGGUGCCGCAGUGGGGCACUCACCAGACCGUGCACCUGCCUGGCCAGCUGCCCCAG
Molecule: unclassified non-coding RNA, 460 nt
Filed under: Homo sapiens (human)
Lineage: Eukaryota; Metazoa; Chordata; Mammalia; Primates; Hominidae
Description: pre-mRNA processing factor 8 (ENSG00000274442.2)
Source: RNAcentral